AGACCUACGGGAGGCAGCAGUGAGGAAUAUUGGUCAAUGGGCGCGAGCCUGAACCAGCCGAGUCGCGUGAGGGAUGACGGUCCUACGGAUUGUAAACCUCUUUUGCCGGGGAGCAAGCGUGCGUUCGUGAACGCGCGUCGAGAGUACCCGGAGAAAAAGCAUCGGCUAACUCCGUGCCAGCAGCCGCGGUAAUACGGAGGAUGCGAGCGUUAUCCGGAUUUACUGGGUGUAAAGGGAGCGUAGGUGGCAUGGUAAGCCAGAAGUGAAAACCCAGGGCUCAACUCUGUGGAUUGCUUUUGGAACUA
Molecule: ribosomal RNA, 305 nt
Filed under: uncultured bacterium
Lineage: Bacteria
Description: bacterial SSU rRNA
Rfam family: Bacterial small subunit ribosomal RNA
Source: RNAcentral